CCUACGGGUGGCAGCAGUGGGGGAUAUUGCACAAUGGGGGCAACCCUGAUGCAGCGACGCCGCGUGAGCGAUGGAGUACUUCGGUAUGUAAAGCUCUGUCAGCAGGGAAGAGAAUGACGGUACCUGACCAAGAAGCCCCGUCUAAAUACGUGCCAGCAGCCGCGGUGAUACGUAUGGGGCAAGCGUUAGCCGGAUUUACUGGGUGUGAAGGGAGCGUAGGCGGCAGGGCAAGCCUGAUGGGAAAGCCCGGGGCGCAACCCCGGGACUGCAUUGGGAACUGCCCCGCUCGAGUGCCGGAGGGGCAGAGGGAAUUCCUAGUGGAGCGGUGAAAUGCGGAGAUAUUAGGAGGGACACCAGUGGCGAAGGCGGGCUGCUGGACGGUGUACUGACGCUGAGGCUCGAAAGCGUGGGGAGCAAACAGGAUUAGAUACCCGGGUAGUC
RNAcentral lists this ribosomal RNA (441 nucleotides) under uncultured bacterium. Its description in RNAcentral is "partial 16S ribosomal RNA". It matches the Rfam family "Bacterial small subunit ribosomal RNA", at positions 338 to 795 of the family's 1533-position model. The record is from RNAcentral.